GACGGACGCUGGCGGCGUGCUUAACACAUGCAAGUCGAACGAAGAGCGAUGGAAGCUUGCUUCUAUCAAUUUUCGUGGCGCACGGGUGAGUCACGCGUAAUCAACCUGCCCUUCAGUGGGGGACAACAGUUGGAAACGACUGCUAAUACCGCAUACGAUCUAAUCUCGGCAUCGAGGAUAGAUGAACGGUGGUCUCUACAUGUAUGCUAUCACUGAAGGAGGGGAUUGCGUCUGAUUAGCUAGUUGGAGGGGUAACGGCCCACCAAGGCGAUGAUCAGUAGCCGGUCUGAGAGGAUGAACGGCCACAUUGGGACUGAGACACGGCCCAGACUCCUACGGGAGGCAGCAGUGGGGAAUCUUCCGCAAUGGACGAAAGUCUGACGGAGCAACGCCGCGUGGGUGAUGACGGCCUUCGGGUUGUAAAGCUCUGUUAAUCGGGACGAAAGGCCUUCUUGCGAAUAGUGAGAAGGAUUGACGGUACCGGAAUGGAAAGCCACGGCUAACUACGUG
This 510-nucleotide ribosomal RNA is filed under the name uncultured bacterium. RNAcentral describes it as "partial 16S ribosomal RNA". It matches the Rfam family "Bacterial small subunit ribosomal RNA", at positions 28 to 507 of the family's 1533-position model. The record is from RNAcentral.